GAUUAGUGUGACUCGUUGGGUGAAGCCUCCUAUUGGUAAGGUGAAGCUGAAUUGUAAUACAAGUCUAUCCUUGGCGAUGGGAGAAGCUGCCGGGGCUUACAUUCUUACCCUAUUUGCUGGUGGCAAAGGAAAUGUUGCUGAAGCGGUACUAUAGCAAGGACAUUCGAGGUGGUGCUCAAUUCCCAGAGUCAGAUAUAGUUAAAGCUUGCCGAAGGGUUAGUGAAUAUUUUUUGUUGUUGUACAACAACUCUAUUUUAAGUAUUGCUAUAUUCCUUUACAUAAUAUCUAAAAUUUUGCUUUCUUUAUAUGAUCUUUGAAAUCAAAUAGUGCUAAAAAAUGUGAUCACGAUUACUCACUUGCGGAAGAUUUUCUCGAGAUUACACCUCGGAAGACAAUUGGAGAAUUGAAGGAAUGUAAAGAGGAUGGUGAUUAUGCUGUGUAUGGUACAAUUAUGGGAGUGAUUGGUGGAUCUGAUUGGUUUGUUGCUCAAUGUAGAUGUGGCAUUGAAGUUGUUCUGAAGCUUGGGUCAUACUAUUGUGAAAAGUCUUCAAAGCAUGUUGAUUUGUUUUCCUUGAAGUUAUAGUGUUGGUAUGAGGUUUAUUUAUGUUGAUUAUCAUUUGUAUAUAUUAUAAAAACAGGUAUAGAAUUAAGGUGAAAGUUAUUGAUUCCUCAGGGAGUGCAACCUUUGUCAUAUUUGAA
Molecule: long non-coding RNA, 699 nt
Organism: Arachis duranensis
Lineage: Eukaryota; Viridiplantae; Streptophyta; Magnoliopsida; Fabales; Fabaceae
Exons: 4
Source: RefSeq, a predicted model, not a curated record